UGACUGAUGCUUCGUUGUACGAGAUAUU
This 28-nucleotide small RNA is filed under the name Bombyx mori (domestic silkworm). RNAcentral's name for it is "piRNA piR-bmo-2173155". Lineage: Eukaryota; Metazoa; Arthropoda; Insecta; Lepidoptera; Bombycidae. The record is from RNAcentral.